GCAGGCCUAACACAUGCAAGUCGAGCGCUGUAGCAAUACAGAGCGGCGCACGGGAGAGUAACGCGUGGGAACCUACCUUUUGGUUUGGGAUAACACCGGGAAACUGGUGCUAAUACCGGAUAAGCCCUUCGGGGGAAAGAUUUAUCGCCGAUAGAUGGGCCCGCGUUGGAUUAGCUAGUUGGUGAGGUAAUGGCUCACCAAGGCUACGAUCCAUAGCUGGUCUGAGAGGAUGAUCAGCCUCACUGGGACUGAGACACGGCCCAGACUCCUACGGGAGGCAGCAGUGGGGAAUAUUGGACAAUGGGGGCAACCCUGAUCCAGCCAUGCCGCGUGAAUGAUGAAGGCCUUCGGGUUGUAAAGUUCUUUUGCAGGGGACGAUGAUGACGGUACCCUGAGAAUAAGCUCCGGCUAACUUCGUGCCAGCAGCCGCGGUAAUACGAAGGGAGCUAGCGUUGUUCGGAAUUACUGGGCGUAAAGGGCGCGUAGGCGGUUUAGUAAGUUGGAUGUGAAAGCCCAGGGCUCAACCCUGGAAUUGCAUUCAAGACUGCUUUACUUGAAUUCGGUAGAGGUUGGCGGAAUUCCCAGUGUAGAGGUGAAAUUCGUAGAGAUUGGGAAGAACACCCGUGGCGAAGGCGGCCAACUGGACCGACAUUGACGCUGAGGCGCGAAAGCGUGGGGAUCAAACAGGAUUAGAUACCCUGGUAGUCCACGUUGUAACGAUGCAUGCUAGACGUUGGAAGGCUUAGCCUUCUUGUGUCGCAGCUAACGCACUAAGCAUGCCGCCUGGGGAGUACGGCCGCAAGGUUG
This 807-nucleotide ribosomal RNA is filed under the name uncultured bacterium. RNAcentral describes it as "bacterial SSU rRNA". It matches the Rfam family "Bacterial small subunit ribosomal RNA", at positions 42 to 896 of the family's 1533-position model. The record is from RNAcentral.